RNAcentral lists this transfer RNA (68 nucleotides) under Potamilus alatus. Its description in RNAcentral is "tRNA-Ser". The record is from RNAcentral. Lineage: Eukaryota; Metazoa; Mollusca; Bivalvia; Unionida; Unionidae.
GAAAAGUGGCCGAGCCAAUAUGUGGCUUCUAACCACGUAAAAAGAGGUUUGACUCCUUUUACCUUUCU